Molecule: non-coding RNA, 134 nt
Organism: Triticum aestivum (bread wheat)
Lineage: Eukaryota; Viridiplantae; Streptophyta; Magnoliopsida; Poales; Poaceae
Source: Rfam
CAACUACUCCCUCCGUCCGGAAAUACUUGUCAUCAAAAGGGAUAAAAGAGGAUGUAUCUAGACGUAUUUUAGUUAUGGAUACAUCUCUUUUAUCCAUUUUGAUGAAAAGUAUUUUCGGAUGGAGGGAGUACAAA